RNAcentral lists this ribosomal RNA (330 nucleotides) under uncultured eukaryote. Its description in RNAcentral is "partial 18S ribosomal RNA". It matches the Rfam family "Eukaryotic small subunit ribosomal RNA", at positions 1470 to 1796 of the family's 1831-position model. The record is from RNAcentral.
CCCUUAGAUGUCCGGGGCUGCACGCGCGCUACACUGAAUGAAUCAGCGUGCUAGAAAACCUUGUUUGACAUGGCUAGGUAACCCAUUGAAAAUCAUUCGUGAUUGGGAUCGGGACUUGCAAAUGUGUCCCUUGAACGAGGAAUUCCCAGUAAGUGCGGGUCAUCAGCUCGCGUUGAUUACGUCCCUGCCCUUUGUACACACCGCCCGUCGCUGCCCGGAACUGAGCCGUUUCGAGGAGACUGAGGAUUGCUGACUUGAGGCCUUCACGGGCUUCUAGUCGGUGAAAAUCAAUUUAAUCGCAGCGGCUUGAACCGGGCAAAAGUCGUAACA